Molecule: ribosomal RNA, 499 nt
Filed under: uncultured bacterium
Lineage: Bacteria
Description: bacterial SSU rRNA
Rfam family: Bacterial small subunit ribosomal RNA
Source: RNAcentral
AGAGUUGAUUCUGGCUCAGGACGAACGCUGGCGGCACGCUUAACACAUGCAAGUCGAACGGGGUUAUUCGGAGCUUGCUUUGAAUGACCUAGUGGCGGACGGGUGAGUAACACGUGAGCAAUCUGCCCUUAAGAGGGGGAUACCAGUUAGAAAUGACUGUUAAUACCGCAUAAGAUAGUAGUACCGCAUGGUACAGCUAUAAAAGAUUUAUCGCUUAAGGAUGAGCUCGCGUCUGAUUAGCUAGUUGGUGAGGUAACGGCUCACCAAGGCAACGAUCAGUAGCCGGACUGAGAGGUUGGACGGCCACAUUGGGACUGAGACACGGCCCAGACUCCUACGGGAGGCAGCAGGUGGGGAAUAUUGCACAAUGGAGGGAACUCUGAUGCAGCGAUGCCGCGUGGAGGGAAGUAAGGUUUAGGAUUAGUAAACCUCUGUUGACAGGGACGAUAGUGACGGUACCUGUUGAGGAAGCUCCGGCUAACUACGUGCCAGCCGCCGC